UCUUAGAAUCAGCCUAAAAAUGGUUAAUCUGCGUACGGCUCAUUACAACAGCCAUAGUUUACUUGAUCUUGAUAUCCUACUUGGAUAACUGUGGUAAUUCUAGAGCUAAUACACGCAAAAAAGCCUCGACUUUACGGACAGGCGCAUUUAUUAGAACAAAACCAAUCGGACCUCGGUCCGCGGUUUAGUGAAUCUGAAUAACUUUGCUGAUCGCACGGUCUUUGUACCGGCGACGCAUCUUUCAAGUGUCUGCCUUAUCAACUUUCGAUGGUACGUUAUGUGCCUACCAUGGUUGUAACGGGUAACGGAGAAUAAGGGUUCGACUCCGGAGAGGGAGCCUGAGAAACGGCUACCACAUCCAAGGAAGGCAGCAGGCGCGCAAAUUACCCACUCUCAAUACGAGGAGGUAGUGACGAAAAAUAACGAGUCGGUUCUCUAUGAGGCCCGAUAUCGGAAUGGGU
RNAcentral lists this ribosomal RNA (461 nucleotides) under unidentified nematode Sourhope farm. Its description in RNAcentral is "SSU rRNA". It matches the Rfam family "Eukaryotic small subunit ribosomal RNA", at positions 58 to 519 of the family's 1831-position model. The record is from RNAcentral. Lineage: Eukaryota; Metazoa; Nematoda.